RNAcentral lists this ribosomal RNA (328 nucleotides) under uncultured eukaryote. RNAcentral's name for it is "partial 18S ribosomal RNA". It matches the Rfam family "Eukaryotic small subunit ribosomal RNA", at positions 1470 to 1796 of the family's 1831-position model. The record is from RNAcentral.
CCCUUAGAUGUUCUGGGCCGCACGCGCGCUACAAUGAUGAAUUCAACGAGUUUAUAACCUUGGUUGAAAAGCCUGGGUAAUCUUUUGAACUUUCGUCGUGAUGGGGCUAGACCCUUGCAAUUAUUGGUCUCCAACGAGGAAUUCCUAGUAAACGCAAGUCAUCAGCUUGCAUUGAUUACGUCCCUGCCCUUUGUACACACCGCCCGUCGCUCCUACCGAUUGAGUGGUCCGGUGAGGCUUUGGGAUCUGAGCGGAAAGAGCGUUUCGCUGUUUCUGCUCGGAAAACUCAGUCGAACCUUAUCAUUUAGAGGAAGGAGAAGUCGUAACA